This is a long non-coding RNA of Ictalurus punctatus (channel catfish), 463 nucleotides long. The record is from Ensembl. NCBI's taxonomy places the organism in Eukaryota, Metazoa, Chordata, Actinopteri, Siluriformes, Ictaluridae.
CUGCAGCAGUGUAACACUGAUGACAUAAAUAACCGACGCACAGCGGUAAAGGGUGAGUGUGUGAACGGUUGUGUCACUGUGCUCGGUCUCCUGUACAAAGUUUCUCUGGGUGACCGUAAAGCCUGAAGCUGCGUGCGCGCGGAAUUAACGGGAAGAGCGGUCGCGUUAAGCCUCUGCACGGAGCCCACGCGCGGAUUGUCCUCCAUCACAGCGCGCUGCUCAGACCCCCGACGCGCUUUCCCGGAGAAACCAUGUCCUUUCUCAGGUCUGUCUCAGACAUGGAAUGGAGCUCCAGAACGUAUGCCAGUAACUACAGCUGUGAGUGAAUCUUCAUUUAUUCAUAGUGGAAAACUUCGCAGUCUCGCCCGAGACAUUUCUGAAAUCAGCCACGAGAAAGCCACAAGCCGAGAUGAUGCAGGAAAACCUGCUGGGGAAUCGGAUAAGCCCCGCCCAUGUCCGAGAG